This is an RNA transcript of Phyllopteryx taeniolatus (common seadragon), 7747 nucleotides long. It is a transcript of the gene named colony stimulating factor 2 receptor subunit beta, with no coding region annotated. The transcript has 16 exons. NCBI's taxonomy places the organism in Eukaryota, Metazoa, Chordata, Actinopteri, Syngnathiformes, Syngnathidae. The record is from RefSeq and is a predicted model, not a curated record.
UAUAUAUAUGACUGACGCUUGGGUGAUUAUCCACAUUUAGGACAUCCAUCUCCUGUUUGUAGAAGUUACACCAGCCGUACAAUAAAAUUCCGUUCUAAAAUUGAAUUGGACACACAUUUGUCUGUUAUGUAUUAUCAGAAAAUAGCUAGUUAAAAUUCUGCUUGCCAUGCACUCUUGCAACUAAAACUGUAGUAACAGUCAAUGGAAAUUAUAAAGAUUACCCGUAGUUUUAAUGAUGGAUACUGCUUUGGACUUGCUGCUAAAAUUCAAAUUGUUGUGUCAUCCACAUUUAUAAAACCAAACUGCCAAAUUGGCAAACGCUCAGCGAGCUUCGCACUCGCAUGAAAAUCAGGAUGCGGCAACAUUUGCGCUGCGCCACACAUACACCAUCUACGAAAACAGAGCUCUGAAUGUUUGAAAGACCGAAAACCGCCAAACCACGCCUUCGUGGUUUCGAUUAUCAUAUUCUUUGUUGAGAGUUUCCGAUUGUUUCAGAAGAAGGAACUUUAUUUUUUCUCAAGCUCUCUAGAGAGUCACACUCUAGUUCUAGUUUUCCCAGCGUGCCUGAGCCAAUGCUACUGUGUGCAGUUGUUGUCACAGCAUGGUACCAAUAAUACAAUUGCAAGGUUAUGGAUUGCAGAGAAAAAUACACAUGAUUUUUAAUAGCUUGUGUAUAUUUGGGUUAGUAGUGAGCAUGUCUACCUUACGUUUCUGAGGUUUGGGGUGCAUGAGUUUUCUACGGGUACUCCGGCUCCCUCCCACAUUCUAGAAACAUGCAUGUUAGGUUAAUUAAAGCGUCUAAAUAAUCUGUAGGUGUGAAUGUGAGUAUGGAUGGUUGUUUGUCUAAAUGUGCCCUGAUUAGCUUGCGACCAGGCCAUCCAUUUAACACGCCGCAACCAUAAUGUGGUGUAGGAUGAAUGGAUGUUUUGUUGCAUUUUCAUGUCGUCAAACGUGUGAAAUUGCUUUUCAGGAGUCAUCAUGUAGUUGAGCAAGCACGAGAAGACAAUGGACAGGCAUAUGAGGCAGUGAAAUGGGGAAAGGGUCAUCUUGGGCAUGACUCAGAAUGAAAAGCUGCAGAUACUGCAUGUGUUUAUCAGGUGCAAGUCAGAGACUUGUGACAAAGAAUAAGAAAAAGACUCAAUCGAGCUGAGUGGCAGAAGACUUGAAUUCUUAUAUGAAACAUUAAGCAGUGUUUAUUACAGAGGUUGAUAAUAAAUAUGUGUUUGGUGACUGAAUAAAAAUGCAUCAUACUGAGUGGUGUUUCUUAUAUUUUGCCACUUCUGUGUAGCUGAAUAAUCAUCAAAAUAGUAGAAACACUUCUGUAUCUGUAUCUAUAUGAAUAUAAACAUAUUAUAGGCACCUGCAGUUUAUUCAGUGUUUAGGAAAUUUAAAGUAGUAGUUAUGUAGUUCCUACAUAAAUACAAUUAUUUGGUUUUCAUUAAAGAUGUUUAUAACAACAGAAAACAUUUUAAAAUGUUCAUCUUUGGAAUUUGAUCAUGCUAUUGCAGUCAUGUUGGGGGGAAAAAACAUUUAAUCAACAAUUAAUCAUGGCUUUAAUUAAUAUUUUUAUUUUUUCCACUUGUUCCACACUUAAUUUGUGUGAACAUAAUCAAUGUAAAAAUAUUUAGUUAAUAACAUAGACAUAAAUGAACACAUAAACACUAUUGUUAACAACACAAUUGUGUGGAACCGGUUGUCAAGAAAAUAUUAAUCAAAGCAAUGUCUUUUCUUUUUCUUUUUUUUUUCCUUCUUUUUUUAAGAAGUGUGGCGACACACGCACAUUAUUGAUUUCUUUUUUUGCCUCGCCUCUUUCUACUCUUGUACGCUCGACUUGUAGCUGUACCUUGUUGUUCUCCAUUUCAAGUUUGAAGAUUGAAACCACCCCAUUUUCUUUCACUGUGCAUCUUUAUUAUCUUGUCGAUGUAAAUGUAGACAAAGGCUUCAUUCAGUUGAAACUUUACAGUGUGUUAAAUUGAUGUCUCUCUGGUAUCUACUGAGCAUUAGUAUCUGUCAAAUAGCACUUUUGAUACAACUCUUAUAUUGGAGCUCUUGUACUAUCUGCAAUGAAGUAUCUGGUGAUUGUUAAAUCAGUCAGGUGAAGGAACUGUCAUGGUCUCAAAAUAUCCAUUCAUUUGUUGAUUUAAUUGUUAGGAAGAAAUAUGUUUCAUAAGUGAAAAACAUGAAAUAAGGUUUUUUUUUAAAAGGGCUGAUUAAGCGUUUAAUAAAAGUUUACACCAAGGCAGAAAAGAGGAACCUGUAGACAACAAGAGGAAACUCCCCCAAACUCUCAAGAAAAAGGAAGAAAGCAAAAUGGUGAGCGGGAAGAAGUCUUCAUCAUGUGGUCGGACUUCUCACGUUGUCAGUGCUUACAUUUUCCUGAAACCAGCCAGCCCCAAGAAAAAAGGGGGACCAGCCUUUACCUGAGAACGAUGCCUCUUUUCUGGGUGCUGCUUUGGUUAGUGCUCCCCCCACUGACUCUCCUCUCUCAUCCAGACGGAUGUAUCAUUCAUGACACCGACACCUCACGCAACGUGUUAAUGGAGUUAUUACAGUGUCAUAAUGACUAUGAAUCGUACGUCUACUGCAAGUGGUGGGAGGGCCCACACCUACGUGCACCACUGCAGCUCUGGUUCCACACGGAACGCAGCAGGGAGCGAUGUGAGAACUCUAGCGUCGAGGUCCAAAAGGCAGAUGGGAACAGGACUGUCCAGUGUAGAUAUGAAACGCAUUCUUUUUCCAUUGGCAUCAAUCACACGGUCUUCUUUGUCGAGGACGACGCACUCUGCUCAUCUGCCCCACGCAAGCCCCUGAAGCUUUCUGAUCACGUGAGAGCACGCACACCUGUGGAUUUGUCAAAAUAUGACACCGAUGAUGGACAGCUGUGGAUCAAAUGGUCCAGCCCUUAUCCUGCAUCCUCAUCCCUGAACAAAAACCUCAUGUACCAAGUCGGCUACAAGGGAGAAAGACAGGACACGUGGACUAUUAUGAAUGUGACAAGCACAGAUGUCAAACUAGAGACACGACUGCUGCUUCCAGGUCACAGGUACGAGGCCAGGGUGAGGGGCUGGGCCGGUGUGGGCCAGUGGAGUCACUGGAGCCCCGUCGUGAUGUGGAGGACUAAAGAAGACAGCAGGCACUUUCCCAGCUUGUAUUGUGUGCUGGAUGGAGAGGACAAAGUCAUGUGUAGCUGGGAGGUGAGCAGAGCGCUGGAUCACGUAAUUACCUACCAGCUGGCCUGUCAACACAACCACACUGCACCGUCUGAGAGCUGCUGUGAGAACCCGACCGUCACCUUUGACCCCAGUAGGCCACUAGUACGAUACAGCUGCUGGCUGACUGUCGCGAGGCCUGCACAACUGCUGCUUAAACUUCAACCAACUCGCAAUGCAAAGACGUUCAGGGCCAAUAAGCACAUUCGUCCCAGGCCACCACAGCAGGUGAGAGUGGAAGAAAAAGGCAACAACUGGAUAGUGGAAUGGACUGAACCCAGCACAGCCUCCAAAAUCCGACUAUAUUAUCAAGUGCGCUAUUACAAGACACAGGAUGAGCAGGGGUCCUCUCUGCUGCUGAACAUUUCAGAAGGCUCCACAUCAGUGAGCAUCCUGGGGCCAUCCCUGAGCCCAUCCCAGCACCACCGGGUCCAAGUCAGAUCUGUAGUCAUCCCUGGAGAGGGUUCACUUUAUGAAGGAAGCCCCUCCGAAUGGAGCGAGCCAGCGGACUGGACUUCACACGCAGCCACGUGGCCCCUCACCACCAAGGUGUAUUUCUGCCUCAGUGCGACUGUAGCCAUAAUCUUCUUGGCACUGCUACUCUACUGCACCAUCUCAUCCUGUCAGAGGAAAAUAAUUAUUUGGGUGGGCACUGUUCCUUCUCCUGGCAAAAGCAAAACCUUGUCAGAGAUCAAGUCUGCCACCUCCUGGGCCUUGAUAGAGAACGAGAACACUUACAUGAGCAAAGUGGAGCAAUUGUACAGCUUGUCUACAUGCACAUCCCCAAGCUCCUCGCUGUGGCCAACUGAGGGUGCUGAAAAUAAAGAUUUGGAGCAGGACCGACAGGACUACAAGUCUAAUAGUUCGUCCCUCACUGCUGAGAAGGUUAAUGGCUGUGACCUUACAAUGCACUUCAGCGGCCCAUAUAUCCUCUGUCAGUCAUUAGACUCCAAGUGCAUGUGUGAAGAGACAAAGGAGAACGAAGUAACAUCAUCAGAGGCUCCUUCCUCGGUGGUCGUCACACACAAUGUAGAAGGUUAUGUGUGCCUCCCCCGUGGCAGCGUCUCCACUUCCACAUCGAAUCUGGCGUCGCACUGGGAUGCCAAUGUAAACGCACAAAAGCGUGAGCAGAACCACCAGAGCGCAGAUAACCCAGUGCUGCUCGACAUCAGGCCCGCCAGCAGUGACCCGCCUCCAGCAUACAGCUCAGAGUCCGCCUGGCCCACCAUAAGGGCCUCAGGGUACUGUCUUCUGCCACCUCCUUCUUAAGAGCACUUGAGCACGAUGAAUUUUGACAGUUGCUUAUGGAAAGCUGUUUGAACAUGUAAUCAUUAUCCUUUCUAAUCUACGAGUGCGCGCUUUGUCCUCAGUAGUAACACAAUUCAGUCACUAGUAGACACACUACUAAUGGGCAUGUGUCAUGCACUAGUCACCCAUUGGUAGCCCCAAAAUGACCACUAAGAGCACCAAGGCAUUUUUCCCCUCACUAGUGCUAGAAGUACCAAAAUGCCCACAAGUAAGGUAUGUUUCACCUUUCUCGUACUAGUAGUAACAGUGUGAAUGCCCACUAGUAGUACUAGCAAACCAAAAUGUCCACUAGUAGCACAAGUAAGAUGGUUUUGACCUUACUAGUGUGGGUCAAAAUUCCUACUCGUAAUACAAGUAUUCUUUUUUUGACAUACUACUGGUAAGGUCCUAUCUGCCUCCAAGUAGCUAACUACUAGUCGUUGCUUGUCCUGUCAGGGUUUGCCGCAUCGAGUCACUCACAUGAUUUGUUAUAGCCCAGUUUUGACUACUUGUGCCAAUACUUUAGAGCCAAAGCAGCCGAUACCAUAAAUUGUGAUAUUUAUGACCAUACUAGUAGUACUAGUAAAGGCAAAUAUGCUCACUUGAUGAACAAUUGAAUACCAAAGUACUUGCAAGUAACUAAAGGACAGUGAAUAAAUGCUCAAACAGUUUUUCAUGCUUGCUGCUUAGUUUUAUCAAAAAUAGCCAUAUCAUCACAUUAGAGUUUCACAUCUGACCAGUGGGGGGCAGUAGUUAGCUGAGACCAAAAAAUACUUUUUAUACAGUACAAAGUAGUUGCUGCACAAGUAUUCUUUUUACUAAAACAGGAUUAAACAGCAACUAUCAAUUCAAUGAGAUCCAAUGUAAUAGCUGGGGGGAAAUUAUUUUACACUCAAAAGGUUUUAAUUUAACCAUGCUUAUUAUUGCGUUUGUGGUAUUCAGUUGAGCUGCACUUUAACAUAUGGAGAAGUAGCAGUUUGGUUAGCCUAUUUAGCUACAUGAAAAGGGCAAAGUAUUAGAAACAUUGCAUAUCUUUGACCGUCAAGAGAACUGUUAAUGCUGCCAAGCAAUUGUUUAUUCACUGUUUGUUACCAGGGUUUUACAAAAUGUGGUCCUUGUAAAGGCAGUUUUUCUGACAGCACUUAAUCUCAUUCAUUAUGCAGGUGUACCGAAUACUAUUGCAAGCACACAUUCUAAUCACAUGGACAUUUAAAAAACUGUUAUCCUAAUUGCUUCCAUUAAAAUUUUUUUUAAAAAAAGCCAAAAAGUGAAGUGCUGAAGUUCAUAAGUUCAUAAAUACUGUCAUGUUUGCUAUGUGGCCAUAUAUGCAUGUUUGCACAGAGGUGUGUGUUUUUGUGACUUGUUGUUAAUGUCCAAGCUUGGCAGGCGCUGAAUACGUAAAAAAAAAAAAAAAAAGAGAAAAAAAGUUCUCGACAUUGCAAUGAUACUGCAACACGGCAGCGGUCAUGAUGGUGUGAAAACAUUUAGCUCGUGACCAGCUUCAAGGGCCUCCACAUGGAACAAGUGCGUGUUUAGAGUGUUUUCUUGAAAGAUUGCAUUCCUAAAUGGAGGGGUCAUACUGUAUAUCGUGUGAAUUGUUUACUCACAAACACACCUUAUACAGAAGGAAAUACAAUACAGCACUUGAUUUGACUUGAAGAAUAAAGGUACAGUGAACUCCCACUAUUCAGAGGGGGAUAGGGACUGAGCCGAAAUAUGCCACAAGAUGGCGGCAAAGCACAUUUUUAUAUAUAUUAGACAAGGCUAUGGCCUUAUGAGCCUAUCUCACUGGCGGAGACGUCACCGCGACAGCCGAGACUGGUCAGUCACGGCAACUCUGGCGACCUGGGAGAUCAAAAUAUUGCUUGCGCUUUCACCAGGACGACGUCUCGGAGACGUCUCCUGACAAGGUGACAAGUCGCUGAUAUAGGCCUAUAUACAGUAUAUAUAGUCUUUAAAGAACUAUAACUUAUAUUAUGUUUUGAGUGUGUGUGUGCGUGUGUGUGUGUGUUUUAAAAUGGAGAUGGAAAGUUAAUAUUGAUUGAUUGAUUGAUUGAUUGAUUGAUUGAUUGAUUGACCUCAGCUCCAGAGAGUGAGACAUCAGUUUUCACGUGUAAUAUAUGAAUGAAGACACACAGGCUUAAGAACAGUUUACAAUUCAGAUGAAACUGUUAACACUUUUAACAUAUGACAGCUCGAAUGUUAAUUGUUAUUUCUGUUUUGGCUUCUCACCUUUAUAAAAAGAAUAACUGAAGAAAAACAAGUAAUGCAGCUGUAGCUUGGUGUCCACCGCACUAAUCAUUUAUUUGUGACACAAGUAUUCUUUUCUUUUGUGGUCAAACCUCAAUUGGGUGACGUAUCCCGAAGUGGCGGCGGCAGCCCUCCACACUCAGCCGCCAGAGCACAGAUUCCCGGACGGUCUAAACUUGAUUCACCUGGUCAGUCUCCAGGAGAUGUGGCGGCGCUGUCUCCGCAAGCAGCGGAGACUCACGUCGCAUCAUGUCGCCAACUCGUCUCCAGGCCAGUGAUAAUAGGUACUUUCCUAAUGAAGCUCCUCCCCUCAGUUCUACAUAGGUACUUUCCUAAUGAAGCUCCUCCCCUCAGUUCUACAUAGUUGCUUGGCACAUGAUGACACCAAAGCAAUAUUUCUAUGUUAAACAUGAGCACAAAACAGCGAAUAGGUGAGUUUUCAGCGAAUAACAGAGGAUCCGUUGCCCCAAAAAGAGGCAAAUCUGCAAAUGUCGAACCACGUACAGUAUUAGCGGGGGCUCUCUAUACUAACACUCCGAAAGUGGUCCAAUUUGGAGUUCUACCAAGCUUUUCUGAAAAUAUGUGCCUGAAAAGUCAAACAAAAGUAACCAGUAAUUGAGAAGAUUAAGUUUUUAAGUGGAUUUUUCUUUUUCUUUGGCUUUUAUGUGACUUGACUACCAAUGGAUACCGAAUUAAAAAUGGAACAUACUGCUACAUGUGGAAGGUUCUGGCUGCUUAGUAAAAUAUGACCAAUACUUUUGCAGUUGCUUUAUACUUCAAGAAUAUUAAAAUGUUAUCGAAAACAUUAGUCAAAAUUUUAUACAGUUUACAAUGUAAGCCUGAAUUGAAUACAUUUUGAAUUUUCUCAUAGGGGAAAAUUUAGAAGAAAAAAAAGAACAGAUUUGUAGUAAACCAGCAUCAGAAUGUGUUCAACCUUGGAGGUUCUGCUGUACUUUGAUAUAUGCUUUUGUAAAGGUCUCUAUGUCCACUAUAAUAAAUUU